This 100-nucleotide vault RNA is filed under the name Lates calcarifer (barramundi perch). Its description in RNAcentral is "Vault RNA (ENSLCAG00010006565.1)". It matches the Rfam family "Vault RNA". From Rfam's summary of the family: This family of RNAs are found as part of the enigmatic vault ribonucleoprotein complex. The complex consists of a major vault protein (MVP), two minor vault proteins (VPARP and TEP1), and several small untranslated RNA molecules. It has been suggested that the vault complex is involved in drug resistance. Lineage: Eukaryota; Metazoa; Chordata; Actinopteri; Centropomidae. The record is from Rfam by way of RNAcentral.
GUGCUGGUUUAGCUCAGUGGUUACUUCGAACAAAUUCAACUCUGAAUAUCGCUCUCUCUCCCGUCCUGGGAUCGAACCACGGGCGCUGUCCAGUGCUUUU